Molecule: long non-coding RNA, 340 nt
Filed under: Zonotrichia albicollis (white-throated sparrow)
Lineage: Eukaryota; Metazoa; Chordata; Aves; Passeriformes; Passerellidae
Description: lncRNA (ENSZALG00000016654.1)
Source: RNAcentral
GACAUAGCAAAAUAUGGUUGUUUUCUCUUCUGCUUCCUUCUGCUUCUCAUUUGUGGAUGCUGAAAGCAGCUGGACCUGUUCCAUGUGAAUGGAAAUAAUUAUGGGCAUGUACAACAAAUUCAUUAAUCUCAAGAAGCUGCUAUUUCAUUUCCUGGGAGCUGUCUCUGCAGAACUUGUCCCCAGCUGCUGGGGCACUCCAAAAAGGCAGAAGUACCAAGAGAAAAUCAUACUUGAAUGGAAGCAUAUUUCUCUUUACAAGGAUAGAUUUCUAGACAGCAAUAUACUCAGCUGGGUGCAGCCACAAAAUCUUCCCAGGAAGACAUCUUUUUCUGUCAGCUGA